Molecule: ribosomal RNA, 521 nt
Filed under: Botryosphaeria dothidea
Lineage: Eukaryota; Fungi; Ascomycota; Dothideomycetes; Botryosphaeriales; Botryosphaeriaceae
Description: eukaryotic LSU rRNA
Rfam family: 5.8S ribosomal RNA (bases 157-310)
Source: RNAcentral
GAUCCUCCCACCCUUUGUGUACCUACCUCUGUUGCUUUGGCGGGCCGCGGUCCUCCGCGGCCGCCCCCCUCCCCGGGGGGGUGGCCAGCGCCCGCCAGAGGACCAUCAAACUCCAGUCAGUAAACGAUGCAGUCUGAAAAACAUUUAAUAAACUAAAACUUUCAACAACGGAUCUCUUGGUUCUGGCAUCGAUGAAGAACGCAGCGAAAUGCGAUAAGUAAUGUGAAUUGCAGAAUUCAGUGAAUCAUCGAAUCUUUGAACGCACAUUGCGCCCUUUGGUAUUCCGAAGGGCAUGCCUGUUCGAGCGUCAUUACAACCCUCAAGCUCUGCUUGGUAUUGGGCACCGUCCUUUGCGGGCGCGCCUCAAAGACCUCGGCGGUGGCGUCUUGCCUCAAGCGUAGUAGAACAUACAUCUCGCUUCGGAGCGCAGGGCGUCGCCCGCCGGACGAACCUUCUGAACUUUUCUCAAGGUUGACCUCGGAUCAGGUAGGGAUACCCGCUGAACUUAAGCAUAUCAAUAA